Molecule: unclassified non-coding RNA, 296 nt
Filed under: uncultured fungus
Lineage: Eukaryota; Fungi
Description: partial contains 5.8S ribosomal RNA, internal transcribed spacer 2, and large subunit ribosomal RNA
Source: RNAcentral
AACGCAUAUUGCGCCUGCUGGUAUUCUAGCAGGCAUGCCUGUCCGAGCGUCAUCUUACCGCUCAGGCGGCCCUUGUUUUGCCGCCUGGUGUUGGGGUCCUUACGCGCCGCCGUAGGCCCUGAAAUUCGUCGGCGAGCCCGCCGGAGCUCCCCAGCGCAGUGGCUAAUCACCGCUGAGGGCGCCCGGAAGGGUCUUCUGCCCACAAGAGCCGCGGUGCUGCCCCCCGCGGCGGCGCGCGCGCGCGAUAUCAGCAACUGUUUGACCUCGGAUCAGGUAGGACUACCCGCUGAACUUAA